UUGACCUCGGAUCAGGUAGGGAUACCCGCUGAACUUAAGCAUAUCAAUAAGCGGAGGAAAAGAAACCAACAGGGAUUGCCUCAGUAACGGCGAGUGAAGCGGCAACAGCUCAAAUUUGAAAUCUGGCCCCUUUGGGGCCCGAGUUGUAAUUUGUAGAGGGUGUUUCGGGCGCGGCGCCGGUCUAAGUUCCUUGGAACAGGACGUCAUAGAGGGUGAGAAUCCCGUAUGUGACUGGCGAUCAAGCCCAUGUGAAGCCC
Molecule: ribosomal RNA, 257 nt
Filed under: Pseudocyphellaria multifida
Lineage: Eukaryota; Fungi; Ascomycota; Lecanoromycetes; Peltigerales; Lobariaceae
Description: partial 26S ribosomal RNA
Rfam family: Eukaryotic large subunit ribosomal RNA
Source: RNAcentral